GCGGGCGUGGCGGAACUGGCAGACGCGCUAGAUUUAGGUUCUAGUGUCUAUUGACGUGGGGGUUCGAAUCCCUUCGCCCGCA
This is a transfer RNA of 82 nucleotides. It matches the Rfam family "tRNA". Rfam says of the family: Transfer RNA (tRNA) molecules are approximately 80 nucleotides in length. Their secondary structure includes four short double-helical elements and three loops (D, anti-codon, and T loops). The record is from Rfam.